Molecule: ribosomal RNA, 567 nt
Filed under: uncultured bacterium
Lineage: Bacteria
Description: bacterial SSU rRNA
Rfam family: Bacterial small subunit ribosomal RNA
Source: RNAcentral
CCUACGGGAGGCAGCAGUGGGGAAUAUUGCACAAUGGGCGGAAGCCUGAUGCAGCGACGCCGCGUGAGGGAUAAAGGCCUUCGGGUUGUAAACCUCUUUCAGCAGGGACGAAGCGUGAGUGACGGUACCUGCAGAAGAAGCACCGGCUAACUACGUGCCAGCAGCCGCGGUAAUACGUAGGGUGCGAGCGUUGUCCGGAAUUACUGGGCGUAAAGAGUUCGUAGGCGGUUUGUCGCGUCGUUUGUGAAAACCCGGGGCUCAACUUCGGGCUUGCAGGCGAUACGGGCAGACUUGAGUGUUUCAGGGGAGACUGGAAUUCCUGGUGUAGCGGUGAAAUGCGCAGAUAUCAGGAGGAACACCGGUGGCGAAGGCGGGUCUCUGGGAAACAACUGACGCUGAGGAACGAAAGCGUGGGUAGCAAACAGGAUUAGAUACCCUGGUAGUCCACGCCGUAAACGGUGGGCGCUAGGUGUGGGUUCCUUCCACGGGAUCUGUGCCGUAGCUAACGCAUUAAGCGCCCCGCCUGGGGAGUACGGCCGCAAGGCUAAAACUUAAAUGAAUUGACGG